Molecule: ribosomal RNA, 419 nt
Filed under: bacterium
Lineage: Bacteria
Description: partial 16S ribosomal RNA
Rfam family: Bacterial small subunit ribosomal RNA
Source: RNAcentral
UGGGGGAUAUUGCACAAUGGGCGAAAGCCUGAUGCAGCGACGCCGCGUGGGGGAUGAAGGCCUUCGGGUUGUAACCUUCUUUUGCUCUGAACAAGGCAUGCUAAUGGGUGUGUUGAGUGUAGGGGUUGAUUAGCGCCGGCUAACUACGUGCCAGCAGCCGCGGUAAUACGUAGGGCGCGAGCGUUGUCCGGAAUUAUUGGGCGUAAAGGGCUUGUAGGUGGCUGGUUGCGUCUGUCGUGAAAGCUCAUGGCUUAACUGUGGGUUUGCGGUGGGUACGGGCUGGCUUGAGUGCAGUAGGGGAGGCUGGAAUUCCUGGUGUAGCGGGGGAAUGCGCAGAUAUCAGGAGGAAUACCGGUGGCGAAGGCGGGUCUCUGGGCUGUUACUGACACUGAGGAGCGAAAGCAGGGGGAGAGAACAGG